RNAcentral lists this ribosomal RNA (429 nucleotides) under Bacteroidota bacterium. Its description in RNAcentral is "Bacteroidetes bacterium partial 16S ribosomal RNA". It matches the Rfam family "Bacterial small subunit ribosomal RNA", at positions 355 to 776 of the family's 1533-position model. Lineage: Bacteria; Pseudomonadati; Bacteroidota. The record is from RNAcentral.
UAGGGAAUCUUCGGCAAUGGGGGGAACCCUGACCGAGCAACGCCGCGUGAGUGAAGAAGGUUUUCGGAUCGUAAAGCUCUGUUGUUAAGGAAGAACGAGUGUGAGAAUGGAAAGUUCAUGCUGUGACGGUACUUAACCAGAAAGGGACGGCUAACUACGUGCCAGCAGCCGCGGUAAUACGUAGGUCCCGAGUGUUGUCCGGAUUUAUUGGGCGUAAAGCGAGCGCAGGCGGUUAGAAAAGUCUGAAGUGAAAGGCAGUGGCUCAACCAUUGUAGGCUUUGGAAACUGUUUAACUUGAGUGCAGAAGGGGAGAGUGGAAUUCCAUGUGUAGCGGUGAAAUGCGUAGAUAUAUGGAGGAACACCGGUGGCGAAAGCGGCUCUCUAGUCUGUAACUGACGCGGAGGCUCGAAAGCGUGGGGAGCGAACAGG